AGAGUUUGAUCCUGGCUCAGGAUGAACGCUAGCGACAGGCUUAACACAUGCAAGUCGAGGGGCAGCGGGGUAGUGCUUGCACUACUGCCGGCGACCGGCGCACGGGUGAGUAACACGUAUGGAACCUGCCCGCAGCAGGGGGAUAAGCGGAAGAAGUUCCGUCUAAUACCGCGUAACAACGUUGGGAGGCAUCUCCCGAUGUUUAAAGAUUUAUCGGCUGCGGAUGGCCAUGCGGCGCAUUAGCUAGUCGGCGGGGUAACGGCCCACCGAGGCGACGAUGCGUAGGGGUUCUGAGAGGAAGGUCCCCCACACUGGUACUGAGACACGGACCAGACUCCUACGGGAGGCAGCAGUGAGGAAUAUUGGUCAAUGGCCGAGAGGCUGAACCAGCCAAGUCGCGUGAGGGAUGACGGCCCUACGGGUUGUAAACCUCUUUUGUCGGGGAGCAAAGGGAGUCACGUGUGACUCAUUGAGAGUACCCGAAGAAAAAGCGUCGGCUAACUCCGUGCCAGCAGCCGCGGUAAUACGGAGGAUGCGAGCGUUAUCCGGAUUUAUUGGGUUUAAAGGGUGCGCAGGCGGAGGUGCAAGUCAGCGGUCAAAUUGCGGGGCUCAACCCCGUACUGCCGUUGAAACUGCAUCCCUUGAGUGCGCGAGAAGUAUGCGGAAUGCGUGGUGUAGCGGUGAAAUGCAUAGAUAUCACGCAGAACUCCGAUUGCGAAGGCAGCAUACCGGCGCGCAACUGACGCUCAUGCACGAAAGCGUGGGGUAUCGAACAGGAUUAGAUACCCUGGUAGUCCACGCAGUAAACGAUGAACACUAACUGUUCGGCCAGAAUGAUGGCUGAGUGGUACAGCGAAAGCGUUAAGUGUUCCACCUGGGGAGUACGCCGGCAACGGUGAAACUCAAAGGAAUUGACGGGGGCCCGCACAAGCGGAGGAACAUGUGGUUUAAUUCGAUGAUACGCGAGGAACCUUACCCGGGCUCAAACGACACAGGAAUACUUUUGAAAGGAGGUAGCCCUACGGGGUCUGUGUCGAGGUGCUGCAUGGUUGUCGUCAGCUCGUGCCGUGAGGUGUCGGCUUAAGUGCCAUAACGAGCGCAAUCCCUAUCGCCAGUUGCCAUCAAGUAAAGUUGGGGACUCUGGCGAGACUGCCGGCGCAAGCUGUGAGGAAGGCGGGGAUGACGUCAAAUCAGCACGGCCCUUACGUCCGGGGCGACACACGUGUUACAAUGGCAGGUACAGAGAGAAGCCAGGUGGCGACACCGAGCGGAACUCGAAAGCCUGUCUCAGUUCGGAUCGGAGUCUGCAACCCGACUCCGUGAAGCUGGAUUCGCUAGUAAUCGCGCAUCAGCCAUGGCGCGGUGAAUACGUUCCCGGGCCUUGUACACACCGCCCGUCA
This 1400-nucleotide ribosomal RNA is filed under the name uncultured bacterium. RNAcentral describes it as "16S ribosomal RNA". It matches the Rfam family "Bacterial small subunit ribosomal RNA". The record is from RNAcentral.